Salmo salar (Atlantic salmon) is the source of this 1230-nucleotide long non-coding RNA. RefSeq lists it as uncharacterized. Lineage: Eukaryota; Metazoa; Chordata; Actinopteri; Salmoniformes; Salmonidae. The record is from RefSeq and is a predicted model, not a curated record.
GUCAGGUUAAGGUAGAAGGAAAAGCUUAUUGCCUGUAUCACUUAGUUUCCUGCCUAGCAAUAAAGGUACAAUGUUUAGCGAGAAAGAGGAGACUCCACCCAAAGUGGCGUACAUAUACCACCACUAUUGUAACCAUGUCUUUGUCUGUUCAGCUGGUUUAAGCUGGUUUAAGCUUUCAUAGUGUCCGUCGAGUUCUAACUCUGAUAAUUAGAACCUAACAGUUGGCGCUGCAAGCAGGAUUCACCAUGAUUUAUAGUCAAACCAGAGUCCAGAUCUGUGGAGCAGGAGCUGGCAACAAACAAGAUUGGGUCUGCUGGAUUGUUGGGAUUCCCCAUGGGUUAGGGUGUUAACUCCCCUGAUCUGGUAACUCUUCCGAGAGGUCGCCAGAAAAAUAAGGGAGUAUGAACUAAUUUUGAAAAUGGUUUCAACAGUAACAGUAAGUUGUUAUGCUUUGACAUUUGUCAUAGAGAUAAUGAUAAGAACAUUUGGAAUGUAACAAUUUGUCAUAGUCAAUGCUUGUCUGGAUUUCCUGAAUCAGAAUUAAUUUAACUGAACUGUUGUUCUGAUCUGUCCUCUCUUGAGGUUAUCAUGGAAGGUGACGUCAGAUCGUGUCUUUAUGCAUGGUAGGAAUAAUUUGACCACAAACACUGUGUGAACCUCAAAACCCUCCCUAACCGGCUGAAGACAGAGCAACAAAGGCGUUCAAUGCGACAGUGACUUAACACUCCAAUCUGAGUCCGAGCCAUUAAUCUGGGUACGGGCGGCAGGAGUGCGCCAUGAGUCCUGAGACUGCGCAUGUGGAGUGAGCAUGGAGAGAGAUCCCAUUCAAACUUCUUUCAUGCUCCUGGUGUACUGGUGGGAAAAAUGGAUGAGACAAUGUUGGUAGCUCAGGUGAGAGACUUGUGUACUUGGGAAAAAUAGAUGUAUUUAUUUGGAUAUUGAAAAAAAACACACAAAACACAAAAAAAAAAAAAUAAAAUCGGGACAUUACCAUGGGCCAUCAAAUGUAACAGGCAAGAGUUACUUGUGCCGUUGGGAAGAUGAACUGUAACGCUAUCUGAAGACACGCUAGAAUGAUAAGUGCAGGAAGAAAAGGGGGGGGGUCAAGCAUGCCCGUUAUUGUUUAAUUGGGCUAUCAGGUUUACGGAGGAAGGUCUAACAAAAUGUAUCACAGUUUUCGAGUUCAGUUUCACAUAAAAAUGCUUUAAUUAAAUGCAUUAUGAAAUAUGA